AUGUCUGGGCAGAAUCCACCAGUCAUGCAAAGAGGACCAUACUCUGUAGCACUCAGCAGAAGAAGGAAGAUGGGAACAGAAAGGUGUGGGGAGAGUUUUCAUUUGUGGCUAGAUUGAGUUGGCUAUAGGCAAGUUUUUGUUGUUUGAUUUUUUUAUAAUUAUAUUAUUUUAUAUUAUAUUGGGACUAUUUAUUAAUAACUUUUUCUUUUUACCUCUCUAAUCUAUUUUUGUUCAUAUAUACAUAUAUAUAUAUAAAUUCUUUAUUGGCAAGGCAGUGAAGGUUAAAAAUCAAAUUAUUUUUUAAUUAAAUAAGAGUAGACAAACACGUACCCAUUCCAUGUAUGGGAUGAAAUUUUUCAACUCUUUCUAAUACACAGAAAUAUAUAUAUAUAUAUAUAUAUAUAUAUAUAUAUAGCUCCAUUUUUAUUUUACGUUUGGACUGAGAUGCUGGGUGACAUCUCUGUUUUACGAGGCAGCAAAUGGAAGAUUUUACACCUCUGCCACUGGAAAUGGUGCUGAUAAAGGAAAUGGAGGUAUGAGCGUGUUACAGGGUUUUCACCUGAGGUGUCAUAGCUUGUCUUUGAUCUACUGUAAAUCAGUCUCUAUAUCAAGAAGGAGUAAAAAGGGGGCAGUGUGCCCAUUUUUAGCUUUCCAUGUGGUGGAAUGAGAAACCUUCUGUUCUAUUUGAAUGUGAGAAAGAUGUGCUAGUCCUCUCCCGCUUGGCUGGCUAACCUCCAUGUACUUCCCUGUGUAUGGAUACUUGUCAACACAAAAAUAAUAAUGAAAAGGAGGAAAUAAUAAAUACAGGUAAACUGCAAGAGUGAUUUGAUGAACAUUGUCAAGAUAUACUUCAUUAAUCUUCCUCCCUUUGCCCGCCGUUCUCUCUUUUUGAAGAAGCACGUCUUGCUGUGGCUGGUCAAAUGGAACCAAGUCAGGUGUUUCUGCAAGGUUUGGUCCCCUUCAACCAGCUACUGCGUCGUGAAUACAGCCAACAAAGAGCAAAUAUUAUAAGAGAGUCAUUCAGUAAAAUCUGAUAUUUGUCAUUUAAAAUGUACUGGUCCUUUAAAGUAUUUCAUUAUUUUAUUGUCUAUGAUUUCUUCUAAAAUUCAAUAAACUAUUUUCCUUUUCA
This is a long non-coding RNA of Carassius auratus (goldfish), 1129 nucleotides long. RefSeq lists it as uncharacterized. The record is from RefSeq and is a predicted model, not a curated record. The transcript has 2 exons. Lineage: Eukaryota; Metazoa; Chordata; Actinopteri; Cypriniformes; Cyprinidae.